RNAcentral lists this ribosomal RNA (427 nucleotides) under uncultured bacterium. RNAcentral's name for it is "bacterial SSU rRNA". It matches the Rfam family "Bacterial small subunit ribosomal RNA", at positions 355 to 774 of the family's 1533-position model. The record is from RNAcentral.
UGGGGAAUUUUGGACAAUGGGCGCAAGCCUGAUCCAGCAAUGCCGCGUGCAGGAUGAAGGCUUUCGGGUUGUAAACCGCUUUUGUCGGGGAAGAAGAGCCUUGGGUUAAUACCCUGGGGUGAUGACGGUACCCGAAGAAUAAGCACCGGCUAACUACGUGCCAGCAGCCGCGGUAAUACGUAGGGUGCAAGCGUUAAUCGGAAUUACUGGGCGUAAAGCGUGCGCAGGCGGUUAUAUAAGACAGAUGUGAAAUCCCCGGGCUCAACCUGGGACCUGCAUUUGUGACUGUAUAGCUAGAGUACGGUAGAGGGGGAUGGAAUUCCGCGUGUAGCAGUGAAAUGCGUAGAUAUGCGGAGGAACACCGAUGGCGAAGGCAAUCCCCUGGACCUGUACUGACGCUCAUGCACGAAAGCGUGGGGAGCAAACA